Molecule: ribosomal RNA, 119 nt
Filed under: Pteropus alecto (black flying fox)
Lineage: Eukaryota; Metazoa; Chordata; Mammalia; Chiroptera; Pteropodidae
Source: RNAcentral
GUCUAUGGUCAUGCCACACUGAACACGCUCGAUCUCAUCUGAUCUCGGAAGCUAAGCAGGGUUGGGCCUGGUUAGUACUUGAAUGGGACACCACCUAGGAAUACUGGGUGCUGUAGGCA